This is a long non-coding RNA of Pipra filicauda (Wire-tailed manakin), 1424 nucleotides long. RefSeq lists it as uncharacterized. The transcript has 5 exons. The record is from RefSeq and is a predicted model, not a curated record. Lineage: Eukaryota; Metazoa; Chordata; Aves; Passeriformes; Pipridae.
ACUGCUGUUAUCUGCCACGCGUGAGGGGAGAACCCUGGGCCGUGUCUGGCCAUCCUGCUUGUUCAAAGGGAAGUGACCUCAAAUUUGAAGACCUCACCACAGUCUGACCAGAGGAGAAGUACUGUUGGACCUGUUGCUCAUCAACACAGAAGAACAAGGGAUAACAAGUGGUGGCCACCUGACCAGAAGGAGGAAGAGGAUGAGGCCUUCUACAGGCAGCUCGAAGCAGCCUCAGAGUCACAGGUACAAACAGCCCAGGAGGUUCCUGGAAAGCGAUGAUGACAACUUCCUGUCACAGAUAUGAGUUUGUGAAGUUAAAGAACUAGAUGAAGACAUCAAGUCCUGCCAGUCAAAGAAGCACUGGACUGCAUGAGAAAGAGUUCUUUUUAGUUCUAAAAAAUACAUCAAGCAUUAACUUCUCUCUGUAGGAUCUCCUCUCUGUAAAGAAAAUAAGGAUGGAAAUCUGUGCUGGUAAACCUCAAGGACUGAAAUCCUGUCUAUGGCACCUAAGUCAAGAAAGGCUUAAAAUGCUGGAAUGCCUUCAUAGAAAUACAAAAAAAUUAUAAUUUACUUCCUGAACAUAAUCUUGCAGGAAAAAAAAGAAAGGAAACAGCUACAGUGUAAUUUUUACUUCAAUUAACUUCAUGGAUCCAAUUCAGCAAUUGUAUUACACUGCCUGUGAAAUCUAUUGACCCAGUGGGAGAGCUCUGUGCAACAUAUGCCACAAGACAAAUCUUUUGGCUCACCGGUGUGAUGAGUACUAGAAUACUGGCCAGACUAGAAUGCAGUCUUUUUUUUGAGAGGCUGACCUGUGAGAACAGAGGGAAGCAAUUUUUAAGAGGUAGAAUACUUUUUCUUAUAAACUGUGAGAACUUUGGCUGGGCUUGGGGUCAUCACUGUCUGCAAAUAUUUCUUUCCUUAUGUUAUGUGCACUAUAUAUCUUGACCUAUUAACCAUGAAAACAGCUCCCAGUUUUUAGCUACAAGAAUUCCUACUUAUUACUGAUUUGUCUUGUAGUCUGAGACAUAUUCUAGAGGCUAGUGUAUCUUCACUUUAUUUCACUCAGUUUUCAGGUUUGUGAGUAUAAUUUUAUUCUCUUCAAAUUGUUUCCAUUUUAGAUUUUUUUUCUUUUCUGAAUGCUGAUAUACUCUAUUGCCUCUAAGCCAGGCACUCUUUAAUUCGUUAUCAUUUCCCCUUUCGUUUUAAAUACAUAGAUAAAAGAAAGCUACUUGGGCAUAUAGUGCAAUUAAUGCAUUUUUUGUAACUCUUGAGGAAAAAGAUCUUUGAUUCCCUGCCCCUGUUGCACCCUCAAAGAUACCAUACUCACGUUCAUUGUGCUUUGAAUAUGCUUUCUUUAGUUAAGAGCACAAAACUGCUUCCUUUUUCAGUCUAAUAAAAAAAUCUACUGUCUAUUUAAGUGGAUC